Molecule: long non-coding RNA, 1280 nt
Filed under: Salmo salar (Atlantic salmon)
Lineage: Eukaryota; Metazoa; Chordata; Actinopteri; Salmoniformes; Salmonidae
Description: lncRNA (ENSSSAG00000083664.1)
Source: RNAcentral
GAUAAUAGAGGUGUAGGCUAGGCUAGGCUACCUACUGUACUGUACUCUACUGGAAAAUAGAGGUGUAGGCCAAGCUAGGCUACCUACUGUACUGUACUGGAUAAUAGAGGUGUAGGCUAGGCUACCUACUGUACUGUACUGGAUAAUAGAGGUGUAGGCUAGGCUAGGCUACCUACUCUACUCUCCUGGAUAAUAGAGGUGUAGGCUAGGCUAGGCUACCAACUGUUCUGUACUGGAUAAUAUAGGUGUAGGCUAGGCUAGGCUACCUACUGUACUGGAUAAUAGAGGUGUAGGCUAGGCUACCUACUGUACUGGAUAAUAGAGGUGUAGGCUAGGCUACCUACUGUACUAUACUGGAUAAUAGAGGUGUAGGCUAGGCUAGGCUACCUACUGUACUGUACUGGAUAAUAGAGGUGUAGGCUAGGCUAGGCUACCUACUCUACUCUCCUGGAUAAUAGAGGUGUAGGUUAGGCUAGGCUACCUACUGUACUGUACUGGAUAAUAUAGGUGUAGGCUAGGCUACCUACUGUACUGUACUGGAUAAUAGAGGUGUAGGCUAGGCUACCUACUGUACUCUACUGGAUAAUAGAGGUGUACAUUAAUAGUGGGGGAGUCCCCAAUGGCAUCCUAAGUAUUGUACUACGUAUCUCCAGGACUCAUUGGGUCAAAACAACUUCACUAUAUAGGGAAUAGGGUGAUAUUUGGGACAGAUCCAGUGCUGAGUCACAGUACGCUCAUGUGCAGAGACUUGCUAAUUAACUGUCAUCACUGGGCCAUGACAACCCUGGUUUAGCAAUAACCCAAACCCUCUUGUCUCUCCCAGAGCCGGAGCUAGUACAAUAAUAAUAUGUUGUUUUAAGGUUAUUAUUCUACUUUCACGGAAUGGUACAGAGAGUAAUAAUACUGGGCUAAGGUACGGUACCUUACUGGCAGCGUUAUUGAGUUUCUGCAGGUUGAGUUAGUGUGUGUGUGUGUGUGUGUGUCAGGAGAUUCAACGUCCCUGAUCUCCCUCUGAGUAACAGUAAUUUGCAACUUAGACAGGAGACUCUCAACAGCAACUUCUAGAGAAAACUUAACACGUUGACUGCAUGAACAAACGGCUGAUCUGAGUUUAAACCAAAGUAGUUAACUUGUCAGAAGCGUAUUAUUCAUAACUCAUAAAGUGUUCCUUAUCUGUCUUUAUACAGUAGCUGUACUAGCCUGCAUCAGUAUUGAUACUAUAGUUUUCUACCUGAUCUCUGCUGGUCUGGUCUGCCCAGGUGUAUUGGCAAGAGGAUAUC